GGCGAGUACUCCGAUAUACGAUGGAGCAAUGUUGAGGCUCAAUGGAUUCCUUGUUUUUAAAGUGCUCCAAAUCACUGUUGAACCCAAAUAUUGUGUUUUUAUAAUAUGAAAGAAUAAUCAUAUACUAGUGGAAUUUCGCUUAAAAAGAGUUGCCUAAGAAGUACCGAGUUAGCGGCAUAUAAUAGUGAAGUUUUCAAAAAAGUAAGUUUCCCGCGGCAUGGAUAUUACCCUUAAAAAAGAAAGAAAAUAAAAGAUAAAAAAUAUUUUCUAAGAAAAAAUGAAAUAGUGGCCUUUUAGAAGAAAAAAAGAAAACACACACACACACAAAACGAACUAGUAAAGAAAAAUAAAAAUAAAAGCAAAACAGAAAGAUAGAAAAUAGGAAGGGGAAGGCUUGGUCACACCUGGUAAUGGGUUCGGCCCGUUGGAAUCGACUCGUCAAAUACAUCAGAGAAUAAACCGGAAAAAUGGGUGUGGCUAGGUCUCACUCGACUGAUACUUAAUCAAGUCUCAGUCAAAUGAUAUAAUAUGUAAGAAAAAAUAAAAAUAAUUGAGAAAAAAUUAGACGGAUCUCAAUAUAAGAUCUGACAAAUAUAAUAUCGAUUAAGAUAUAAUUAAAUCUUAGUCGACUGAGAUUUGACGAGACUGAAAAAAAUAACAGAAUGUAUAGUAAAGCAAGAUCAUUAACACACUAAACCGACCGACACAAAAUAAAAUUUCAGACGACAUACAUAUAGCUAAAUUAAUAAAUAAAAUAAAUGGGAAAGACGUUUUAUAUAGGAGUACUUAAGAAAAAGUAAGCAAGCUGGUGUAAUACGAUUUUUUCCACCGUGCGGGAGAGAUGAAAAAACAAGGACGCCGAUAACUGCCACACGUGUGGGCGUUAAGGAAUCUGCCCAGACGUUCUGUGUGGUGCCUAAGAGGACCAGCCCACACGUCUGUAUGUGGGCAAAACAAUUAGCGCCCACACGCCUCCUUUUUUCCCUCCCGGUCCCUCUUACACGCGUGCGUGUGGGCGAAAUAGAUAACGCACACACGCCCGGUACGUCAGGCCUCGUACCUCGUGCUCCCGCACGCCCCACGUGACACUUUACCGCGCGCCCCGCAGUUGCCAUGGGCCGGACCCUCGUCCAUGUUCGUUUAAGUGCAGUUGCCAUGUCGCUGAACUACGGUUGCCAUGUCGGACAACUACAGUUGCCAUGUUUGCUCAACUGCAGUUGCCAUCUCAGGUCAAAGUUCCAGAUUGCCAUUUUUUGGACAACUACAGCUGUUGCCAUGUGUGGUCUGGUCUACUGCAGUUGCCAUGAUUUCAAAACUUUAGGAGUUGACACCUACUAACAGUAGGCAGUUGCCAUGUAACGCUACAACAAAAGGCAUGGCAAAAAACAUGUUCGGGUAAAAAGAGAGAGUUGCCAUGUGCUCACAAGCACGCUAGGGCAGUUGCCAUUUAAAAGGAAAGAGUUGUCAUCUGCUUAUGUGCACGCUAGGGCAAUUUACCAUGUACCAUGCAAAACAUAUGGCAACUAAGAACUGACAUGUUCGAGUAAAAAAAAGAGAGUUAGUCAUCUGCUUGCAAUCAUACUAGGGCAGUUGCCAUGUACACUGCAAAACGUAUGGCAACUGGCAGCUUGGGUGUGAGAGAGGAGGCGGGUGUGUGGGCGAGAUGGCAAACGCCCACACACCAGCCCUUGUGCGUGAUUGAAAAACUGAUGUGUGGGCGAACUGUAUGCUGGGUGAGAAACGACAGACAAAACUCAAAAACAGAAAAAGGGUGGUGGGAAUAGAGCAUAGUUAUGCAUGCGUAUGUUUGAGAUUGUACCAAAUGGGAUCAUGAGGCAUAGGCUCCACUUGAGCAAGUUGAGUGAUCAGCCGAUGAAUUUGGGUGUCUUUCCAGGACAAUUGUCGGCAGUGGCGAAUUUUGGAGGAAAAUCAAGGGCAGGCUCAAAGUCAAUGGCGUGAAGAAAAAGCCACCAAGUCUUAAUUCUUUUGUUUAAGGAAGGCUAGAAUUUGCCAUAAUACUACUAGGAACAUGUACUAUUAACUACUAAUUACCUUUUUUCAUUGCUGGAGGGCAGGCUCAAGCCUAUUAAAGCCUGCCCAGUUCAUUUGCCACUGAUUGUGGGUAAAGUUCUGCCAUUUUCACCUUUAUGAGCAAAUCAAACAACUCUUCUUUCUUCUUCUUGAAUUCCCUUUCCAGCUCACCUCGAGGCCUUGCACUAGAUGUCGACUCGCGACACAACAUGAUCGAUUCAUAUUAGUAUGGUUUCUAGACAGAAUUGUAUGUCUCACAUUAGUAUGGUUUCUAGACAGAAUUGUAUGUCAUAGUAUGAGAUAUAUCGUUAGAAAAAUAUGUAAAAACAAACCCUAUCAUACAUAGUUUAGAGACAGUGGCUUUUUUUAGACAAAAGGCAUCAUACCCGACUUCAAAUUAAUGAAGCCAUCAACUGGCUAGGGGAUACAAUGGUAUUGCAAACAUUGGUACAGACUUGAUACAAGAGAGAAGAGAAGGCGGUUAGACCAAGAUGCUGAGUAGAGAGAAGGUCACACACAGCAACCACUAAAGAAAAUUACAGGAUCAAGUCGAAGAUGAACUCCAAGCCGCAGAGGAUCAACAUGAGAAGAGGUCGUAGAGACGCACCAGAUGGAGGGUGAUAGGGCCACCACCGCAGGAAUGAGCACCGUCGCAAGAUUCAGGGCAGCAAGAGCCAAGGACAGAAGAGAGACCACCAUCUCUCUUCACAUGUUGCCGGAGGGGAGACCUCAUCUUCGGUCGCCCCACAGGAGCACCACCACCGGCCAGCAACUCCACAACACUGCUCGAGAGCGAACCACAGCAACCGGAGCUGGAAGCUUAAGGCGGCUACACACCAACAUCCCCAGCAACCGACAAAGAAGAAGCGAAUCGAAGCAGGGGGUUUCUGAUUCGCUUCUUCUUUGUCGGUUGCUGGGGAUUGCUUUCGCUAGCAAUGUACGAGUGUGGCGUAUCUGUCGAUUUGGGGGUGGGGGGCCUCCAGUGUAUAUAUAUGAAGAAAAAAUAAGUAAUUCCAAAAAAAUGAUGAAACAUUUUGAGAAAUAAACUUCACCUUCUGUUGUAUUUGUAUAAAAAAUCGCUAAAACGGCUUUCACGGUAUUGUGGAUGAAAAAACAAAAUCAACACUAUAUGCAAGUUAUUAUUCCCGCGGUCAGAAACCCCCCGCGGUGCACGCCCACCUGGCAGACAAGCCCCUUACACUUGACGGGGAGGGCGGACCCCUGAUGGAAACGCCCCCGGUGGAGGGUGGCGAGUACUCCGAUAUACAAUGGAGCAAUGUUGAGGCUCGAUGGAUUCCUUAUUUUUAAAGUGCUCCAAAUCACUGUUGAACCCAAAUAUUGUGUUUUUAUAAUAUGAAAGAAUAAUCAUAUACCAGUGGAAUUUCGCUUCAAAAGAGUUGCCUAAGAAGUACCGAGUUAGUGGCAUAUAAUAGUGAAGUUUUCAAAAAAGUAAGUUUCCCGUGGCAUGGAUAUUACCCUUAAAAAAGAAAGAAAAUAAAAGAUAAAAAAAAAUUCUAAGAAAAAAAUGAAAUAGUGGCCUUUUAGAAGAAAAAAGAAAAACAUACCCACACACACACACACAUAAAACCGAACUAAUAAAGCAAAAUAAAAAUAAAAGCAAAACAGAAAGAUAGAAAAUAGGAAGGGGAAGGCUUGGUCACACCUGGUAAUGGG
RNAcentral lists this long non-coding RNA (3705 nucleotides) under Triticum aestivum (bread wheat). RNAcentral describes it as "long non-coding RNA (TAES_LNC027557)". The record is from RNAcentral. Lineage: Eukaryota; Viridiplantae; Streptophyta; Magnoliopsida; Poales; Poaceae.